RNAcentral lists this ribosomal RNA (497 nucleotides) under uncultured bacterium. Its description in RNAcentral is "partial 16S ribosomal RNA". It matches the Rfam family "Bacterial small subunit ribosomal RNA", at positions 28 to 507 of the family's 1533-position model. The record is from RNAcentral.
GACGAACGCUGGCGGCGUGCCUAAUACAUGCAAGUUGAGCGCUGAAGGUUGGUCCUUGUACCAACUGGAUGAGCAGCGAACGGGUGAGUAACGCGUGGGGAAUCUGCCUUUGAGCGGGGGACAACAUUUGGAAACGAAUGCUAAUACCGCAUAAAAACUUUAAACACAAGUUUUAAGUUUGAAAGAUGCAAUUGCAUCACUCAAAGAUGAUCCCGCGUUGUAUUAGCUAGUUGGUGAGGUAAAGGCUCACCAAGGCGAUGAUACAUAGCCGACCUGAGAGGGUGAUCGGCCACAUUGGGACUGAGACACGGCCCAAACUCCUACGGGAGGCAGCAGUAGGGAAUCUUCGGCAAUGGACGAAAGUCUGACCGAGCAACGCCGCGUGAGUGAAGAAGGUUUUCGGAUCAUAAAACUCUGUUGGUAGAGAAGAACGUUGGUGAGAGUGGAAAGCUCAUCAAGUGACGGUAACUACCCAGAAAGGGACGGCUAACUACGUG